This 63-nucleotide transfer RNA is filed under the name Dermestidae sp. GENSP01. Its description in RNAcentral is "tRNA-Arg". Lineage: Eukaryota; Metazoa; Arthropoda; Insecta; Coleoptera; Dermestidae. The record is from RNAcentral.
AAAUAAGAAACAAUUAAUUGUAUUUAGUUUCGACCUAAAAUUUAGACAACAAGUCCUUAUUUA